Carica papaya (papaya) is the source of this 1469-nucleotide non-coding RNA. The record is from RefSeq and is a predicted model, not a curated record. Lineage: Eukaryota; Viridiplantae; Streptophyta; Magnoliopsida; Brassicales; Caricaceae.
GUCGCAGCAAGCCGUGAUGACUGGUUGCGGCGUCAGAGCGCUGUGGAUUCUCAACAGCGUAGACGCCAUCGUCUUUUCCAGGAGGUUUACUGUGGUGGAGAAGCGAUGGCGUGCUGCUUGUCAGAGUGAAAAUGAGAGCGCUAGCGAAUAUUCCUCAAAGAAUUCCGCCGUGUCUGUACUACCUACAGAUCCAGAAUUAGCCACUGCAUUUGCGGAGAGGAAGCAAAGGUCAGCGAAACAGUUCACCAGUCUUAUUUUCUCGUUUCUGAUUUUCAACAUCGUAAUCUGUCAAUGAAGAAUUGUUUCUUAGCUUUUAAGCCUCAUAUCUCAUGAUUAUGAAGCUACUCAUUAAAUUGAGGCUGAAUAUAGGCUUGGUAGUCCCGUUACUUAACUAAAAUUUACAUUUGGAAGUCCAUGACAUUCCAACUUUUGGUUCUGGUGUCAUCUUUUCGUUUGAAACUUUAGAGCCAUUUUUUUUUUUUCAAAACCCGUUUUCAACUAACCAUGAUGUUAGCUGUACCUAUGCUGGGAGGGAUUGUUGCGCGGGUUUGGCAUUCGUGUAACUCAAUUGACCAACGGCUCGGAUUCCUGGGUUGAUGACCCAAUUACACGUCAUAUUAUAAGCCUUUACAUACACAUAGAGGAGGAAGGAGAGAAUCAUUUUCUAUGGCCUUUAGUCUUGCAUGUAAAUGGCCCCGAUUGCAUCCUAGUGUUGCCUUUGGUGGAGCCUCGUCAACUAAAGGAGUAUAUGGAGUUGUGUAGAAGAUCUGAUUGUGGAAAGCUAUUGGUGCAGAUGGAAGUUUGUCUUCACUCAUCCUUGAUCUUCUGUCCAUCACAGGGUGUGGUUAUGGCUGCAGUGAGAAUAUUGGGAAAAAUGGAGAAUGAAAAGAGUUUGAAGUAUAUAGCAUUGGCCGAAUUAGGAGAAGGAUGCUCGCCACUCAACUAUAUACUACUAUUCACACUGUCGUGAAAUAAUUGAUGUUGGUGUAACCAUCUUGUCAAAAAAGUUUGUAUGCUCGAGACCUGUCCAUUGGUUUGCUUCCCAAGUAUAACUGCAGCUAGAAUUGCCAUUAUUGUUUCUAGUUGUCCCAACAUAAAGAAGGUCUUGAUUGAGAAAUGAAAAAUUAGUGAGAGGAUCAAACACAGAGCAAGUGCAGUCAUGGCCUCCCUCUGCUUUUUUGCUUUUGUUGCUCUUCUUUGUUAUAAGAAUAAUAAAUUUGGUUUCGUUAUUUCUUAUCAGAGUUUGAAGGAGCAUGUGUCGAAUUAGAAGAAAUAUACCUGCUACUCAACUAUAUAGUACUCUCAUACUGUUGUGAAAUAACUGAUGUUGGUCUAGCACAUCUUGUCAAAACUUCUAGUCUAUUUGAGACCUGUCACAUGGUUUAUUAUUCAAGUAUAACUGCAGUUGAAGUUGUCACCAUUAUUUCUAGUUGUCCCAACAUAAAGAAGAUCUUGAUUGAGAAAUAAAA